GACGAACGCUGGCGGCGUGCUUAACACAUGCAAGUCGAACGGAAAGGCACUGCUUUUGUGGGGUGCUCGAGUGGCGAACGGGUGAGUAACACGUGAGUAACCUGCUCUUGACUUUGGGAUAACUUCAGGAAACUGGGGCUAAUACCGGAUAGGAGCUCCUGCUGCAUGGUGGGGGUUGGAAAGUUUCGGCGGUUGGGGAUGGACUCGCGGCUUAUCAGCUUGUUGGUGGGGUAGUGGCUUACCAAGGCUUUGACGGGUAGCCGGCCUGAGAGGGUGACCGGCCACAUUGGGACUGAGAUACGGCCCAGACUCCUACGGGAGGCAGCAGUGGGGAAUAUUGCACAAUGGGCGGAAGCCUGAUGCAGCAACGCCGCGUGCGGGAUGACGGCCUUCGGGUUGUAAACCGCUUUCGCCUGUGACGAAGCGUGAGUGACGGUAAUGGGUAAAGAAGCACCGGCUAACUACGUG
RNAcentral lists this ribosomal RNA (468 nucleotides) under uncultured bacterium. RNAcentral's name for it is "partial 16S ribosomal RNA". It matches the Rfam family "Bacterial small subunit ribosomal RNA", at positions 28 to 507 of the family's 1533-position model. The record is from RNAcentral.